CGCCUGGGGAGUACGGCCGCAAGGUUAAAACUCAAAUGAAUUGACGGGGGCCCGCACAAGCGGUGGAGCAUGUGGUUUAAUUCGACGCAACGCGAAGAACCUUACCUGGCCUUGACAUCCAGAGAGCUUUCCAGAGAUGGAUUGGUGCCUUCGGGAACUCUGAGACAGGUGCUGCAUGGCCGUCGUCAGCUCGUGUCGUGAGAUGUUGGGUUAAGUCCCGUAACGAGCGCAACCCCUAUCCCUGGUUGCUAGCAGGUAAUGCUGAGAACUCCAGGGAGACUGCCGGUGACAAACCGGAGGAAGGUGGGGAUGACGUCAGGUCAUCAUGGCCCUUACGGCCAGGGCUACACACGUGCUACAAUGGCGCGUACAGAGGGCUGCCAACUCGCGAGAGUGAGCCAAUCCCUUAAAACGCGUCGUAGUCCGGAUCGGAGUCUGCAACUCGACUCCGUGAAGUCGGAAUCGCUAGUAAUCGCGAAUCAGAACGUCGCGGUGAAUACGUUCCCGGGCCUUGUACACACCGCCCGUCACACCAUGGGAGUGGAUUGCACCAGAAGUAGUUAGUCUAACCUUCGGGAGGACGAUUACCACGGUGUGGUUCAUGACUGGGGUGAAGUCGUAACAAGGUAACCGUA
Molecule: ribosomal RNA, 635 nt
Filed under: uncultured Marinobacter sp.
Lineage: Bacteria; Pseudomonadati; Pseudomonadota; Gammaproteobacteria; Pseudomonadales; Marinobacteraceae
Description: bacterial SSU rRNA
Rfam family: Bacterial small subunit ribosomal RNA
Source: RNAcentral